Molecule: long non-coding RNA, 5759 nt
Filed under: Homo sapiens (human)
Lineage: Eukaryota; Metazoa; Chordata; Mammalia; Primates; Hominidae
Source: RNAcentral
GGAAUGUGAUGGUUGAGGAAUUUGGAUUGGGCAACCAGGAGCUAACAAAGGUUUUAGGGAAGGAUCACGAUGAAAAGUUUGGGGAGAUAUUCACCUAGAUCUGUGGGUUCUGUGAACUAGGCUAGCACUUAAAUACAGUCUGAAUUCAAACAUGAAAUGCAAAAAGACAACAGGGAUUAUCUGGGAGAAUGAAGGACAUGCUUUUGGUCUUUAUUGCUCAAACCAUGUCAUGGCUAGAUGUUCCUCUCAAUUUGUGUUGAAUAGAUAGGAUUUCUGUCACAUUAGAGUAUGAAGAGCAUGAGAGUAAACAGUGCCCUCUGAAAAGGAAAAUCUUUUAGCUUGAGCAAAUUUAUUUUUAUUAUUUAUUUAUUUUUUGAGACAGAGUCUCACUUUGCCACCCAGGCUGGAGUGCGAUGGCAUGAUCUCAGCUCACUACAACCGCUGCCUCCCAGGUUCAAGCCAUUCCCCUGCCUCAGCCUCCCGAGUAGCUGGGACUACUGAAGUGCACUACCAUGUCUGGCUAAUUUUCGUAUUUUUAGUAGAGACAGGAUUUUGCCAUGUUGGCCAGGCUGGUCUCGAACUCCUGACCUCAGGUGAUCCACCCACCUCGGCCUCCCAAAAUGCUGGGAUUACAGAUGUGAGCCACCACACCCAGAAUUUUUUUUUUAAUUUAAAGGUUAAGGAUGCACCGUGACAUAGUCUCAGGAGGUCCUGAUGACCUGUGCUGAGCCAAUUUUAAAAGGAGCUCAAAUUCUGAGGCCUGCAGGUUUACUUAUUCCAGUGCUUCAGAGGCUAAAGUCCCUCUGGAUUCUUAGCUGCAUACAAAUAUUUAUUUUGAAAUUGAGCAAAUUUGUAGAAAAAUCUUGUGCCGAGUACUAGUCUCUAAAUUAUUUAUGACUCCAAAUUUUCUGCCAGUCUUGACUGUGGUCUGACCAUAGAUUUUAUUUUAUUUACUCGUUAUUUAUUUAUUUAUUUUUUGGAGACAGAGUUUCGCUCUUGUUGCCCAGGUUGGAGUGCAAUGGUGCAAUCUCGGCUCACUGCAACCUCUACCUCCCAGGUUUAAGUGAUUCUCCUGCCUCAGCCUCCCGAGUAGCUGGGAUUAUAGGCAUGUGCCACCACACCUAGCUAAUUUUUUUUUUUUUUUUUUUUUUUUUUGAGACAGAGUCUCGCUCUGUCACCCAGGCUGGAGUGCUGUGGCAUGAUCUCAGCUCACUGCAAGCUCCUUCUCCCGGGUUCACGCCAUUCUCCUGCCUUAGCCUCCCAAGUAGCUGGGACUACAGGCACCCGCCACCAUGCCCAGCUAAUUUUUUUUUGUAUUUUUAGUAGAGACGGGGUUUCAUCGUGUUAGCCAGGAUGGUCUCGAUCUCCUGACCUCGUGAUUUGCCUGCCUCAGCCUCUCAAAGUGCUGGGAUUACAGGCGUGAGCCACCGCAUCUGGCCAAUUUUUUUUUUUUUUUUUUUGAGACAGAGUCUCACUCUUUAACCAGGCUGGAGUGCAGUGGCACGAUCUUGGCUUACUGCAACCUCUGCCUCCCGGGUUCAAGUGAUUCUCCUGCCUCAGCCUCCCGAGUAUCUGGGACUACAGGGCACACCACCACACCCAGCUAAUUUUUGUAUUUUUAGUAGAGACGGGGUUUUGGGCAGGAUGGUCUCGAUCUCUUGACCUCCUGAUCUGCCUCGGCCUCCCAAAGUGCUGGGAUUACAGGCGUGAGCCACCGCACCCGGUCAGCUAAUUUUUGUAUUAUUAGUAGAGACAGGAUUUCACCAUGUUGGCCAGGCUGGUCUCGAACUCCUGACCUCAGGUGAUCCACCACCUCUGCCUCCCAAAGUGUUGGGAUUACAGGCAUAAGCCACCGUGCCCGACCAAAAUUUCUAUGUAUUAAGAUAAUACAUGUACUUAAAAAAAAUAGAUAUGUACUGUCCCACAGAUCUGAGGCACCACAGUUUGCUUAGUUAUCCCUUAUUGUAGGCCAUUUUGUUUGUUGGUUCAUUCAUUCAUUAGUGGUAAAACUACCCAGGCUUUGUGCUCAUUCUCAGCAUGUGGACAUAAGUUAUAGCUCUUGCUGUCAAGGAAUAUAUAGUCUAGGAGAGACAGAUGUGGAAAACAAGUAUAGUACAGUUAUAUAUAAUCAAGAUGAACCUCAGUGUUCCAGGAAUAUCUACCAUGCUCCAGUUCUUCCUGAGAGAUUACACAUUCCCCACCUCACUGACAAUGGCAGUGAGCCCGGGACUAGGUUCCUUUCCCAGGGGGCUGUGAGCAUCAAGGCUAUGGGGAGGAGCACUGGCACUGUUAGGCAGAGGCUGCAUUUGACACUUCUGGAGGGUAACCAAGGGUGAUGGGUGCCAAAUCUCCUACGACCAGGGGUCUCCUAUUGCACUGACACUGCUGCAACUCAGUUUCAGCCGGAAUUUGGCUGACUAGUGAAUAGGCGCUGAGUUCUGAGAUGGAGGUUCUAGUAAUCCCCUAGGCCAGCCUCCAGUCAGCUGUGAAGGUGGUGGGGAGAAAAGGAGGCCAGAUCAUGCCAGGCCCAAACAGGGCUGUCAAGGGCAACAGGAGAUAUGGUAUGGCAGGCAUGAUAGAUACCUUCUGGGUAUCUGAGUGAUGAAUAGAUGGAGGUGGGAAUGAAGGUGGAUUUUGGUAUUUUCUUAGAAUGAAAGACAGCUGAGAAUCUGCACAUAUAGGGUUGCCUAAAAUACAAGACACUUGGUUAUAUUUUAAUUCUAGGUAAACAACAAAUUUUUUCUUAGGCUGGGUGCAGUGGCUCAUGCCUGUAAUCCCAGCAACUUUGGGAGGCUAAGGUGGGUAAAUCACCUGAGGAAAGGAGUUUGAGACCAGCCUGGCCAACAUAGUGAAACUCUGUCUCUACUAAACAUACAAAAAUUAGCUGGGCAUGGUGGCAAGCGCCUGUAACCACAGCUACUGGGGAGGCUGAGGCAGGAGAAUCACUUGAACCUGGGAGGUGGAGGUAGCAGUGAGCUGAGAUUGAGCCAUUGCACUCCAGCCUGGGUGACAGGAGCGAAAUUUCAUCUUGGAAAAAAAAAAGAAGAAAAUAUUAUGUAUUUAAUGGCAUUGUAUGGUACCCAUUGUUUUUUCAUUUUACAAUAUAUCCUGAAUAUUUUCUGGGUUACUCACCAGUCUACUCAUAUCUUAAUGGCUACAUGUUACAUUGAUGCACUGAAAUAAAAAAAAUCUCCCUUAUAGAAUAGUUGUUUCUUCUUCGUGGAGUUUUAAGAUACAAAUUAAUCACACAAUACUUAGAGGUGAUCUAUAUUUACUAAAAUCCCAUUUAAAAAAUUUCAAAAGCAGUAUUUUGAAAAAUAGGAUAAAAUAAUCUUAUUGCCCUAACACAAUUCUCUGGCAAUGUAGCUCUCUCUCUCUCUCUCUCUCUCUCUCUCUCUCUCUGUGUGUGUGUGUGUGUGUGUGUGUGUGUGUGUGUGUGUGUAUUUAGGUUAGCUCUAGUUGCUAAUGCAGUUGAAUUAUGUUACCUGGAUACCUCUUGGAGAACCUGAGGUCAUUUUGGCCUGAUGCAUUAAUAUUUAACAAGCCUGUGAUUGAUGGAUUGAUGCUAGCAAAAUUAAUUCAAUCCACCUAGGUUUCUAUCUGUUGGUAAAACAACAAGGCCAUCCAGGGGUUAGAAAGCAAAGACUUCUGGGAGGAAACGAUUGAAAGUGGUUGUGACCUCUAGAAUCUGGAAUUGGGUACCAGCUCCUCCAUUGACCUUCUUUCACCUUUGUUCUCAGAAAAAUGUCUCUUGAUUGGCUGCUGAUGGAUUGGGUUGCCUCCAUCCCUUAUCUUUAACUAAAGUCUUGAACUCUCAGUAAAUUAAUAGACUGGCAGAGAAAACCCCUUUUUAGUUAAGAAGUACUGUAGUGUGAAAACUCUGGUCUUAGAUAUGGUGUUUAGUAUGCAUUGCAGAUAAUUAGUGUAUCAGAUAUAUGGAUUGACUGAAUAUUCUGCUGAAUUGACUAAAUUGGUCUGUGUCAUUCCCCAGUGACGUGGGGCCACCGUUCCUCUCUCACCUCUUUGCCUUUGGGUUCUGUUAAAGGAGGGUAUUCUGGCAUCAUUCCCCAUGCCACAGAUGGGUGGGUUUGCAAUCCAUGGAUCUCUUUUUGACGUAAAAAACAUCAGCUCUGGUGCUUGCUUUGGCAGCACAUAUACUAAAAUUGGAACGAUACAAAGAAGAUUAGCAUGGCCCCUGCACAAGGAUGACAUGCAAAUUCAUGAAGCAUUCCAUAUUUUUCCAAUUAAAAACAACCGGCUGGGCGCGGUGGCUCAUGCCUAUAAUCCUAACACUUUUGAAGGCCAAGAUGGGCAGAUCACUUGAGGCCAGGAGUUCAAGACUAGCCUGGCCAACAUGGUGAAACCCCAUCUUUACUAAAAAUACAAAAAAAAAAAAAAAAAAUUAGCCAGUCGUGGUGGUGGGUGCCUGUAAUCCCAGCUACUUGGGAGGCUGAAGCAGGAGGAUCACACCACUGCACUCCAGCCUGGGCAACAGAAGGAGACUCCAUCUAAAAAAAAAAAAAAUUAAAACAAACAAACCAUAUUAACUCUGGGAUGUGGGCCACACCUUAAUUGACAUCAGCCACAUGAUUUUGUUCCCAGAAAGAUGGUUCAGAACAGAGAUAUUGGCCAGGCAUGGUGGCAUAUGCCUGUAAUCCUAUCACUUUGUGGGGCCAAGGCAGGUAGAUGACUUGAGCCCAGGAGUUCAAGAACAGCCGGGCAACAUGGCAAAACCCCGUCUCUAAUAAAAAUACAAAAAAUUAGCCGGGUGUAGUGGUGUGUGCCUGUAUUCCCAAAUACUUGGGAAGCUGAAGUGGGAGGAUCACUUGAUCUUGAGGAGGCGGAGGUUGCAGUGAGCUGAGAUCAUGCCACUGCACUCCAGCCUGGGUGACAGAGUGAGACCUUGUCUCAGAAAAAAAAAAAAAAAAGAAGUCUUGGAAAAGCUAACAUGAGAAAGUGUUAAUGGGAGGACAUGUGUAAACAUAGUCAAUCAAUAAUCCUUCCACAAUAUUUGAUAUGUCUAAUCCUUACUAAAAUAUCAUGAACCAAUUGUAAAUCUACAUUUUAAGAAAGAUUUGGAGAGCUCAGAGAAGCCAGAAUGAUUGAACAGGUGCUAUAUUGGUAUAUGAGAGAAGGUUAAAGGUUGGGGUUAUUCCACUGGUAAAAGGGAAGGCUGGGAGCCGGGGGGGUGGCGGGGGAGCGGGUGGUGGUCACAAAUGACUUCAAGCAUUUGGAAGGUUAAAAUAAGGCCCCUAACCGCUUUUUGUUUGUUUUUUAGAGACAGGGUUUCACUGUGUUGCCCAGGCUGGAAUGCAGUGGCUAUUCACAGGCAUGGUCAUAGAGCAUAGCCCCAAAUUCCUGGGCCCAAGCAAUCCUUCUGCCUUAGCCUUCCAAAGUUUUUGCUGGGAUUAAAGGUGUGAGCCACUGAGCCCAGCCUAAUGUUAUGAAUUUCUUGGGUUUCUUUUCAGAGAUAGCCUAUCAAUAUACAAGCAAAUAUAUAUUUUUUUCUUUCCCUCUCCUCUUACCCCCUACCUCCCACCUGUUUUUUACACAGUUGCUUGCCUUUUACACUUUCCAAUGUAUCAUGGCAAUUUUCCCUGUCAGUAUAAAUAUCUUCCUUUUAAAGGACUGACUAGUAUUCCAUUGUACAGUGGAGCAUAAUUUAUUUCACGGGCCUCCUUCUGAUGGACAUGUGAGUCUAACCUUUUGUUAAUACAAAAAAGAUUGCUAUUAAUAUUCUUGAAGACACAUAAUUUUCC